Cornus florida is the source of this 106-nucleotide small nucleolar RNA. The record is from RefSeq and is a predicted model, not a curated record. NCBI's taxonomy places the organism in Eukaryota, Viridiplantae, Streptophyta, Magnoliopsida, Cornales, Cornaceae.
CUUUCAUGAUGUGGACAUUUCCGUAGUAAGUCAUUCAAUCUCUCCCAUGCUUCAUGGAGGGGUUCUCCUUCAUCGGAUGAAAAUUCACGGAUUAGAGUUCUCAUUG